Molecule: ribosomal RNA, 273 nt
Filed under: uncultured bacterium
Lineage: Bacteria
Description: partial 16S ribosomal RNA
Rfam family: Bacterial small subunit ribosomal RNA
Source: RNAcentral
AUACGUAUGUCGCAAGCGUUAUCCGGAAUUAUUGGGCGUAAAGCGAGUCUAGGCGGCUUGUUAAGUCAGAUGUGAAAAUGCGGGGCUCAACUCCGUAUUGCGUUUGAAACUGGCAGGCUAGAGUACUGGAGAGGUGGGCGGAACUACAAGUGUAGAGGUGAAAGUCGUAGAUAUUUGUAGGAAUGCCGAUAGUGAAGACAGCUCACUGGACAGAUACUGACGCUAAAGCUCGAAAGCGUGGGGAGCGAACAGGAUUAGAAACCCUAGUAGUCC